Molecule: ribosomal RNA, 253 nt
Filed under: uncultured bacterium
Lineage: Bacteria
Description: partial 16S ribosomal RNA
Rfam family: Bacterial small subunit ribosomal RNA
Source: RNAcentral
UACGGAGGGGGCUAGCGUUGUUCGGAAUUACUGGGCGUAAAGCGCACGUAGGCGGCUUUGUAAGUUAGAGGUGAAAGCCCGGGGCUCAACUCCGGAAUUGCCUUUAAGACUGCAUCGCUUGAACGUCGGAGAGGUGAGUGGAAUUCCGAGUGUAGAGGUGAAAUUCGUAGAUAUUCGGAAGAACACCAGUGGCGAAGGCGGCUCACUGGUCCGGUACUGACGCUGAGGUGCGAAAGCGUGGGGAGCAAACAGG